Molecule: ribosomal RNA, 735 nt
Filed under: uncultured Providencia sp.
Lineage: Bacteria; Pseudomonadati; Pseudomonadota; Gammaproteobacteria; Enterobacterales; Morganellaceae
Description: bacterial SSU rRNA
Rfam family: Bacterial small subunit ribosomal RNA
Source: RNAcentral
GAGCAAACAGGAUUAGAUACCUGGUAGUCACGCUGUAAACGAUGUCGAUUUGGAGGUUGUUCCCUUGAGGAGUGGCUUCCGGAGCUAACGCGUUAAAUCGACCGCCUGGGGAGUACGGCCGCAAGGUUAAAACUCAAAUGAAUUGACGGGGGCCCGCACAAGCGGUGGAGCAUGUGGUUUAAUUCGAUGCAACGCGAAGAACCUUACCUACUCUUGACAUCCAGAGAAUUUAGCAGAGAUGCUUUAGUGCCUUCGGGAACUCUGAGACAGGUGCUGCAUGGCUGUCGUCAGCUCGUGUUGUGAAAUGUUGGGUUAAGUCCCGCAACGAGCGCAACCCUUAUCCUUUGUUGCCAGCACAUUAUGGUGGGAACUCAAAGGAGACUGCCGGUGAUAAACCGGAGGAAGGUGGGGAUGACGUCAAGUCAUCAUGGCCCUUACGAGUAGGGCUACACACGUGCUACAAUGGCGUAUACAAAGAGAAGCGACCUCGCGAGAGCAAGCGGAACUCAUAAAGUACGUCGUAGUCCGGAUUGGAGUCUGCAACUCGACUCCAUGAAGUCGGAAUCGCUAGUAAUCGUAGAUCAGAAUGCUACGGUGAAUACGUUCCCGGGCCUUGUACACACCGCCCGUCACACCAUGGGAGUGGGUUGCAAAAGAAGUAGGUAGCUUAACCUUCGGGAGGGCGCUUACCACUUUGUGAUUCAUGACUGGGGUGAAGUCGUAACAAGGUAACCA